CAGUCGACGGCAGCGCGGGGCAACCUGGCGGCGAGUGGCGAACGGGUGAGUAAUAUAUCGGAACGUACCCAAGAGUGGGGGAUAACGUAGCGAAAGUUACGCUAAUACCGCAUACGAUCCAAGGAUGAAAGUGGGGGACCUUCGGGCCUCAUGCUCCUGGAGCGGCCGAUAUCUGAUUAGCUAGUUGGUAGGGUAAAGGCCUACCAAGGCGACGAUCAGUAGCUGGUCUGAGAGGACGACCAGCCACACUGGGACUGAGACACGGCCCAGACUCCUACGGGAGGCAGCAGUGGGGAAUUUUGGACAAUGGGCGCAAGCCUGAUCCAGCAAUGCCGCGUGAGUGAAGAAGGCCUUCGGGUUGUAAAGCUCUUUUGUCAGGGAAUAAACGGUUCUGGAUAAUACCUGG
RNAcentral lists this ribosomal RNA (406 nucleotides) under uncultured bacterium. Its description in RNAcentral is "bacterial SSU rRNA". It matches the Rfam family "Bacterial small subunit ribosomal RNA", at positions 59 to 482 of the family's 1533-position model. The record is from RNAcentral.